Triticum aestivum (bread wheat) is the source of this 4297-nucleotide long non-coding RNA. RefSeq lists it as uncharacterized. NCBI's taxonomy places the organism in Eukaryota, Viridiplantae, Streptophyta, Magnoliopsida, Poales, Poaceae. The transcript is spliced from 3 exons. The record is from RefSeq and is a predicted model, not a curated record.
AACCUUGUCCCUCACCUACUCUCUCUGUAUCUCGCCCUCCUUCUCUGUUCCUCAUCUUCUUAUGCAAGUAAGAACUCCAGUUCAAUCUCUCAUCCCGAUCUCCUCUGUAUCGAUCCCUUGUGCCACUGGGUUUGUUACAAACUGGUAAUCAGAGCCUGGUUCCCUUUUCCCCCAAUUUUUUUUGCUAGAUCGUGCUCACAUCCUCUCGAUCGGAUCAUAACAUCCACCGUUGCGGGUGCCGAUUCACUCCAGUGAGUUAGCCCAAACUCCCCAGCAGGGUUGGACCGAUUUGGAGCGAGGGCGACGGCGCCGCCAUCCAAACCUUCCGCCCAGACCCACCACAUCCUAGUAGCCAUGUAAGAAACCUCGGGAGAGAUCAAAUCCUUGCUGGAGUCACUCUUGACGCGGUUCGAAAAAAGCCAGAUCACCGCUGACAAGCAUGUGGAGGCACAUCUCGCCUUCAAGAAGCAGGUCUCUAGCGACCUCACGCACCUUCGCCACGAGAUGGACUUGACGCAAGCGGACGUCGAUGAGGUGCGCUAGCAGCGCACCAACCACGACAAGCAGCAGGCGCCCGCCUCCUCUCACCAUCACCAGUUCAAGCCCAUGGAAGGCGAUCCGCAUGCGUCCUCGGCCACGCCACGACCAGAGCACCCAAGGGGCUUCGAAGUCCAUGGGCCGGUCGCUCGCCUCAUCAACGAUGGUCCACCCCUCAUGCCGCACCGCCCCGCGGUCACCAUCACCGGGGCAGGUCAGAUGCCGCCGCCAGCUUCCCCUCGCUGGAUUCCUCAAGCGCCGCCCACGGACGACUACCACGUCAAGCCCCCCAAGCACGACUUCCCUAAGUUCGACGGCACGGCACCAUAUCUUUGGAUCGAUCGCUGCGAGUCCUACUUCAAGCUGUACGGGGUGCCGCAGCACAAUUGGGUGACCACGGCCUCCCUCUACAUCGAGGGGCAUGCUGCACAUUGGCUUCAAGCUUACCGUCAGGCACACAGAGCGUUGUCAUGGGAGGCGUUCUGUGAAGCGCUCAAGGAGGAAUUUGGGCCUGACGAGUUUGAGUUAAAGAUGCACAAAUUACUGCAACUCCGUCACACAGGAACAGUGGCUGAAUACCGGCUCGCGUUUCAAGGCGCGUAUGUACCACCUGCUGGCACUCGAUGUUACGCUCAGCAACAAGUUCUUCAUCACGCAGUUCCUGCUCGGUCUGCGGGACGAUCUUCGAGCGGCGGUGCGCCUUCAAGCGCCCACGAGCAUCACGUGUGCAUCCGUUCUGGCGUGCAUCCAAGAGGAGGAGACCGACACGCAUCGACCUCGACCGUGCAUGUUCCCGGUGGGACGACCCCCAACACCACCCAUCGCGCUGCCACCACGACCGCAGGUUGUGCCGCGACCUACUGCUGCACCGGUCGCGGUCGCCGGUGGGGACGGUUAUGCGCGUGAGCGGCAGCUCCAAGAUCACCGCCGGGCACAUGGCCUGUGUUUCAAAUGUGGUGACCGAUACUCCAGGGAGCACCGUUGCAAGCAGGCCACGCAGCUGCUCACCAUACACAUGGGAGAGCACGGGGAAGUGCUCACCGAUGAAGCAAUUCAGGCCAUGGAACUGUUAGAUGAGCCAGGCGAUGCACCAACAGAGCAAGAGUGUUGCGUGCUCUCCACCCAAGCCGUCUCCGGCGUGGAGACUCCGCAUACGAUCCGCCUCCGUGCUCUCAUGGGUAAUCAGGUCAUGCUACUCCUUGUCGAUUCAGGCAGUACACACAGUUCCAUCUCCGCGUCCUUUGCCGAUCGCAUUGCUGCAACAACAACGCCCUUGUCGCCAGUGGACGUGCGCGUUGCUAAUGGUGAAUGACUGGUCUGCGACAGGCUUGUACCUGGUGUCAAAUGGUGGAUACAAGGGCACACCUUUUCUACAGACAUGCGCCAGCUCACGCUCGGUGCAUACGACGGCGUGCUGGGUAUGGACUGGAUGGAGAAAUUCAGCCCGAUGAGUCCAUUGGCGAAACAAGACUCUCACCUUUGAGCAUGAGGGUGCCACUGUUACGCUACAAGGUGUUCGCCACAAUGAUGUUAAGUCCCUGGAGGCAAUCGAACCAGAGCAGUUCAACAAGUGGCAAGCCGGCAACGAGAUCUGGUACAUGGCUCUUCUGGACAGACACCCACCCCCAGCGAGCCCGGGAACAAUUUGCCGGCCGGCAUUCAAGCAGUGCUCAGCGAGUACAAGGAUGUGUUUGGCGAACCCAAAAAAUUGCCGCCACAUCGUCAGUACGACCAUGCCAUUACACUGGUUGAGGGGGCACAACCUGCGAAUGCACGCCCCUAUCAGUACUCUCCGUUGCAAAAGGACUAAAUCAAGCGGCAAGUCAGAGAAAUGCUCGAUUCUGGUGUCAUUGAGCACAGUAUGAGUCCCUAUGCUGCUCUGGUUCUCCUAGUAAAGAAAAAGGACGGAUCAUGGCGUUUUUGUGUGGAUUAUUGAUGCCUCAAUGACAACACAGUGAAGAAUCGGUUUCCCUUACCAAUUGUGGACGAGCUGCUGGACGAGCUCGCAGGUGCUAAAUACUUCUCCAAAUUUCUUUUUGAAGUUACAGCACCAGCCUACUGCAUGCAUCUCCAAGCAUCAGGCUGCUAGUAGUUUACCUGUGCAAGUCAGGCAUCAUUGGACCCUUGUUCAGAAAUCAAGGGUUGGCAUAUAUAGCUAGUAUCAUUGGACACAUUGUCUGAAUUUUUUAACACAUUGUCUAGGCUUGUAUAGCUAGUAUUAUAGGCAGGGUGUCUUUUUAAGUGAAAGUUCUUUCUAAGUAUUUUUUUCAACUGCUUGUGUGGGCAUAUAUUGCUGUAUUAUAGGAUGCUUGAACAACGAGUCCCAAAUUUGGGAACAGGACAGACAUCUACCUCCCAGUUUUGUAUAUAUGAAAGUGAGCGAGUCCUGAAUUUGGGUACAGGCAGGGGUCCAUUAGGAACAUGGCAGUUAUUUUGCAUAAUCCUCGACCUCCUCUUUCAAUCUCUCUUUCUCCCUUUCUUCUCUGAAUUUCCCGGUGUUGUAUAAGUCUGUAAGAUUCAGAUUUUAAGAGUACUUGCUCCCUGUACUAGUUACUUCUACUACUUAUUUUUAGCUGUUUAGUACUACUCUGUAGAUCUGUGAUAGUAGUCUAGUCACUUGUAUAAUUUUGUUUAUUAGUAUAACUUGAACUAUGGAGUAGUACCCUGUUCGCAUAUGUGUGAUUAUGUGUGUUCUGUAGUCUCUGUGAUAGCUCCAGUACAUGUGAACUAUAUGUUGUGGUGUAAAUCAUUUUCAUUCUAUCUUAUAAACGUGUUUCUUCAAUAGCUAUUUCUGUUCAAGUCUUGUUUUCAUUGAUGUUAGCAUUUAGUUUGUCUCAAGUAAAAAAAUACUAAAAAUACAGUGAAGAUAAUCUGAACCUCCCUAUGUAAAAUUUAGUCUGUCUGUAAUACUACUAGAAGAUAUGGGUGAGGGACUGAAAGGAUGAUAUGCUUCCAUGAAUUUAUUUGUAAAAAGUUUUUCUUGGCUGUGUACAAAUAAGCCCAAAUAUGUGAGCCUCGGUUCUGAAAACUAAAGAGUUUAUAUAUUGGUAGAUAGACUGUGAUUUAGGAUAUGCUAAACAAGAAGCUUUAUAAGAUGGAACUAUCAAUUCAUCAUGACUUCACCUUGUCCUUUAAUUUAAUAUGGUUAGAACUACCAUGGGUUUUUAAGUAGUUGGGGCAUUAAGAAACAGUAUCCUGGAUGUUUGGCCUUGCAUCCGUCCUUCCAUGAAUUCAUGCUUGUGCAUUGCUAGUUAUUGCUUUUUUUGCAGGUCUUCUUCCUCCUCGAUCUGGUGCAGCAGCAACAAUUCAAGGUCAUGGUCAUGGAGCAACAGCCAUAUAUUUUUCUUCUUAUUCUUCCCUGAGAUGAGAUGAGGCUCUGGUGGUCGGUCUUCAAUUCUUCAUGUUGCUGUGCUGCUACAUGAGGGCCCUCUUCAAUUCUGCAUCCGUUGCGGACCCCGCAGCUUCCACCUCCAGAAGAGCACCUGCUCCUCAUGCGGUUACCUGGCCACCUGCAUCCGCAAGUGUGAAGUGUGAAUCCAUGUCCGAAGCUGUGAAGCAUAUCAGCAAAGAGUAGCAUAUUAUGUGUUGUAGUUGUAGGCAAUAGUAGGCAUAUCUGGGUUGUAAUAUUCUGUAACUAUUGUAAUAGAUUAAUGUAGUAUUGUUUUCGACCAAGUUCAUUUGCUCUCUCGUCUGUUCGAAACAAUGAUUGUGUACGUGAUUUGAAUACCCGUGAAAUGGAAACCUGACAAGUUGGGUCCAA